Molecule: long non-coding RNA, 2476 nt
Organism: Vigna umbellata (rice bean)
Lineage: Eukaryota; Viridiplantae; Streptophyta; Magnoliopsida; Fabales; Fabaceae
Source: RefSeq, a predicted model, not a curated record
GUUCCUUCUCACUUUCACCCUCACUUUUUGUUUCUGUCCUUCCCUUUCCCUCUCCUUUCACCCUCUUCAAAUAGUGUUGAGAGGAAAAAGGGUCUCAAAGAUGGAACCAAAAGACGGGUUUGUUGUUGAAGGUCCCUAUAAGGGUUUUCUCAUCAUGCACGUGACUAACAGCAAGGUAGCCAUGGUCAACCCUCCGAGAAUUGGGAGAUGUGACCAAAAAGAAGCCAUUAGUGGCUCUGAAAUUGGAGCUGACAAUUCUCCUGAAUUGGUGGCAGCAGCAGCAGGAGCUUCACUCUAAUCCGGUGCUAUCCUAUCUGAGCUUUUACUACCUUCUUUCAUCAUCUAUUUUCCAUCACACUUUUUUGUUUUUUUAGGACUCUUCUUGACCUUGUAAGGCCUUUUCUUGACCUUGUAAGACCUCACACCCUAUCUAUUUUCUUUGUUUUUGCUUAUUUGGAAAACCCUAUAUCACAAACCACUGAUAUAGAGUUUGAUUUCCUUCUUUCCCCGUUGCCACCCAAUUCAUCUUCUCCUUCCUUCUCUAUCCCUCCUGAGCUGUUACAUUUUUUGCCUACCAAGAUGCAACAACUAAUAUCAUGCCAUGGCUUCAAAGAACCUCGCUCAAUGGCGGUUCUUCAAAUCUGCUAGCUAUUCGGAGACCAUGGCUUCCAGAAGUACAAUCUGGGUAUAUUGUUCUUUUACCUGUGAAAAAUCAAUGUAGCUUGUAGUUUGUGCAGCUGCUAGCAUACUUGGUCGUGGUCCCUCUUGUUGAUUUGAUUUCUUCUUUUAUGCAAAGCAAGUAAGAUAAAUGUCAUGAGUAAGCUCAAUUUGGCACUACAUGUGUCCUAGGCUGCUAAAGCCCCAUCUCUCCAUCCAAUACAUAGAACUGAAAAGCAUUAAAGUCACACACUCACUCCAAUUGAAUCACAUCAAGUAGAAGAAUGAAUCACCCUUCUCUUGCUUAGUACUAGACCUUUCUUUCUCUCUUUUCCUUGUGUAAUUUGAAAUGCAAAUGUUCAAUUAUCUAAUGCACAGACCACACCACCAAGUGAGAGUGUGGGAACUUUCCUAGCAAGUGAGAUGACAGCAAAUUUGACGCUGAAAACCCAAUUUCCCUUUAGCUCUCUUGAUUUGGAAGGGUGCUUCAGCCAUUCCUUUCACAUGGCAGGUGAAGGACAAGCACUUUGGGAUAGAAUACAACCUGAGCCCAUAAGGAAUAUUACACAUCCCAAUGUUUUUGAUGGGGCUGCGACACACACCUACCACCCUCAAAUAGUGAAGAAUAAUACUUCUCAAAUUACCACUUUCUCCUUCAAUUCAUUUUCUACACAGCAACAUAUCAAACAUGUCGGCAUCAUAAACAAAAAAACAAGAGGGUGGGGUAGAAUUUAUGUGUUUUUAACCAUAUUCCAUUUCAGAUGCCUAACAUAUUGUUUCCAUCAAUCAAUCACGUGGUAGACCAACCUAACAGCGUAGACAAAGAUUUUUCUCUGUAUACAUACUGUAUGCAGUAUAUUCCAAAACGGAUGCAUAAAAUUUUGUGUAUUGACACGAUUUGUGUGAUGGUUAUGCAAGUCUAGGGAAAGAAAAAAAGAAAGAAAGAAUUUGUGACGCAUCAACUACGGAAACCUUUUGCCUACAAAUUCAAUUCAACAGCAUACUUUGACUAAUAAUGUAUUCUGGUUUUUCAGGUUUUUAAUUACAGAUGUACUGCAUCAACUUUUAUGUACUGCUUUUUAUACUCUCUUUUUUGUCUCGAUUUUACUAAUUGAAACGUAGCCGCAAUUGCGACCAUAAUUUAAAAUAGAGCAUAAAUAGGAAUUUUCUCUAUAUAGGCCUGUGGGGUUUAGAAGUAGAGUGGAAAAAUAGUAUGCAGCAAUAAAUGAGAUUUGUGAAGUAUAAAUUCUGAUAUAGAACUGAAGAGGGAUUUUACUUGCAUGAAAGGCAGAUGAGGAAAAUUAAUGUAAAGAUAAAAUUUAGAUUGAAUGUAAUGGAAUGAAUGAAAGGUUUGACUGGGAUGGUGGAUUAUAUGAAAGUGUGGAAGGUAAAGAAGACAGUAAAGGUAUAAGAAAAAGGGUUUGUAUACAUUUUUUAUGUGCCCAAAAGGAAUCAAAGGUGGCACGAAAUGAUGAUGUCUAUGAUGGACAUUGAAAAGUUAAAUGUCUUUCCCUAGGGUAUGAGUUCGUAACUAUUUACCCUCACCCCACCAAAGGAGCCCUGUUUUUUAUGUCUGUGUUUGUAGUUUGUGGCAAUGAGAGAGCGCAACGUAAAGGCUGAGCUUGAAUUAAGUUACAAUGACAAUAUGAUUCUCGUAUUCCUUUUGAGGUGAUUUGGCAUUAGGUACUACCACCCAUGGCCCCAUCUUGAUCAAGCUUUUUUCCACCUUUAGGUUACAUGCGAACAUGGCUCCUUCAUUACCUCUUACUUUUUCCUCAGCAUCAUUCCGUGACCCUUUGGAGACUAAGGGGAUAACAUC